Molecule: ribosomal RNA, 414 nt
Filed under: uncultured microorganism
Description: bacterial SSU rRNA
Rfam family: Archaeal small subunit ribosomal RNA
Source: RNAcentral
CAGCCGCCGCGGUAAUACCGGCGGCCCGAGUGGCGGUCACUAUUAUUGGGCUUAAAGCGUCCGUAGCCGGGUUGGGAAGUCCUCCGGGAAAUCUGGCCGCUUAACGGUCAGAAUGCCGGAGGAUACUCCCAGCCUAGGGAGCGGGGGAGGCCGAGGGGAUUCCCGGGGUAGGGGGGAAAUCCUAUAAUCCCGGGAGGACCACCUGUGGCGAAGGCGCUCGGCGGGAACGCGUCCGACGGUGAGGGACGAAGGCCAGGGGAGCAAACCGGAUUAGAUACCCGGGUAGUCCUGGCUGUAAACGAUGCGGACUUUGUGUCGGACAAGCUAUGAGCUUGUCCGGUGCCGGAGGGAAACCGUUAAGUCCGCCGCCUGGGGAGUACGGCCGCAAGGCUGAAACUUAAAGGAAUUGGCGGG